UACAGAGGUCUCAAGCGUUGUUCGGAUUCAUUGGGCGUAAAGGGUGUGUAGGUGGCGCCGUAAGUCGGGUGUGAAAUCUCGGGGCUUAACUCCGAAACUGCAUUCGAUACUGCCGUGCUUGAGGACUGGAGAGGAGACUGGAAUUUACGGUGUAGCAGUGAAAUGCGUAGAGAUCGUAAGGAAGACCAGUGGCGAAGGCGGGUCUCUGGACAGUUCCUGACACUGAGGCACGAAGGCCAGGGGAGCAAACGGG
RNAcentral lists this ribosomal RNA (253 nucleotides) under uncultured bacterium. RNAcentral's name for it is "partial 16S ribosomal RNA". It matches the Rfam family "Bacterial small subunit ribosomal RNA", at positions 524 to 776 of the family's 1533-position model. The record is from RNAcentral.